CUCAAGGGACUGUGUAGAGCUGGCUUGUAUCCUAUUCCUUUCUCCCUUCCGCAAUCCAAUCUUCAACAGGCAUCCUCUUUUCACAAGAAUCAUUUUUGUUAUCUUGGCCAACAGGUCAAUACAAGUCUCUGGCACAAACGUUUAGGUCAUCCCUCCAACACAAUCACUUCAGCUCUUUUACGUCAGUCACAGAUUUCUUUUUCUUUAGACAAC
This 213-nucleotide long non-coding RNA is filed under the name Prunus persica (peach). RNAcentral describes it as "long non-coding RNA (PPER_LNC008704)". Lineage: Eukaryota; Viridiplantae; Streptophyta; Magnoliopsida; Rosales; Rosaceae. The record is from RNAcentral.